AGCGAACGCUGGCGGCAGGCCUAACACAUGCAAGUCGAACGAACGCAUCGGAGUUGCUGGCGGUCGGGGGAGGAACACGGGGGAAGGUGCCGGUUGGUACGGAAUAACCCUUUUAAACGUGGGCUAAUACCGGAAGUGUCCGUCGAAUACACGAUUCAUCGCCAGUGGAAAGGCAGGGGUCUUCUUAGCUUGGUGGCGAGGAAAAGGCCCACGAAGGCUACGCUCAUUAGCUGGUCUGAGAGGAUGAUCGGCUACAUUGGGACUGAGACACGUUCCAGACACCUACGGUAGGCAGCAGUGCGGAAUAUUGCACAAUGGGCGCAAGCCUGAUCCAGCCAUACCGCGUGAGGGAAGAAGGCCUUCGGGUUGUAAAGUCCUGUUGUUGGGAAAGAAAAGCAGCAGUUUAAUAGCCCGCUGUUCUGACGGUACCCAAAGAAGAAGCACCGGCUAACUUCGUG
RNAcentral lists this ribosomal RNA (458 nucleotides) under uncultured bacterium. RNAcentral describes it as "partial 16S ribosomal RNA". It matches the Rfam family "Bacterial small subunit ribosomal RNA", at positions 29 to 507 of the family's 1533-position model. The record is from RNAcentral.